AAAGGUAAGCUACUAAGAGCGAAUGGUGGAUGCCUUGACUGGUAAAGGCGAUGAAGGACGUACUAGACUGCGAUAAGCUACGGGGAGCUGUCAAGAAGCUUUGAUCCGUAGAUUUCCGAAUGGGGCAACCCAAUGUAUAGAGAUAUACAUUACCUAUAUAGGAGCGAACGAGGGGAAUUGAAACAUCUUAGUACCCUCAGGAAAAGAAAUCAAUAGAGAUUGCGUCAGUAGCGGCGAGCGAAAGCGCAAGAGGGCAAACCCAGUGCUUGCACUGGGGGUUGUAGGACUGCAAUGUGCAAGAGGUAAGUUUAGCAGAACAUUCUGGAAAGUAUAGCCAUAGAGGGUGAUAGUCCCGUAUGCGAAAAACAAACCUUAGCUAGCAGUAUCCUGAGUAGGGCGGGACACGAGGAAUCCUGUCUGAAUCCGGGUCGACCACGAUCCAACCCUAAAUACUAAUACCAGAUCGAUAGUGCACAAGUACCGUGAGGGAAAGGUGAAAAGAACUGAGGUGAUCAGAGUGAAAUAGAACCUGAAACCAUUUGCUUACAAUCAUUCAGAGCCCUAUGUAGCAAUACAGGGUGAUGGACUGCCUUUUGCAUAAUGAGCCUGCGAGUUGUGGUGUCUGGCAAGGUUAAGCAAACGCGAAGCCGUAGCGAAAGCGAGUCUGAAUAGGGCGCUUAGUCAGAUGCUGCAGACCCGAAACGAAGUGAUCUAUCCAUGAGCAAGUUGAAGCUAGUGUAAGAACUAGUGGAGGACUGAACCCAUAGGCGUUGAAAAGCCCCGGGAUGACUUGUGGAUAGGGGUGAAAGGCCAAUCAAACUUCGUGAUAGCUGGUUCUCUCCGAAAUAUAUUUAGGUAUAGCGUUGUGUCGUAAUAUAAGGGGGUAGAGCACUGAAUGGGCUAGGGCAUACACCAAUGUACCAAACCCUAUCAAACUCCGAAUACCUUAUAUGUAAUCACAGCAGUCAGGCG
This 972-nucleotide ribosomal RNA is filed under the name Campylobacter jejuni. RNAcentral's name for it is "partial 23S ribosomal RNA". It matches the Rfam family "Bacterial large subunit ribosomal RNA", at positions 1 to 990 of the family's 2925-position model. The record is from RNAcentral. Lineage: Bacteria; Pseudomonadati; Campylobacterota; Epsilonproteobacteria; Campylobacterales; Campylobacteraceae.